GACGAACCGUGCGAACGUUGUUCGGAAUCACUGGGCUUAAAGGGCGCGUAGGCGGGCUGUCAAGUCUGGGGUGAAAUGCUGCGGCUCAACCGUAGAACUGCCUUAGAUACUGACGGCCUCGAGGAAGGUAGGGGCAUGCGGAACUGUAGGUGGAGCGGUGAAAUGAGUUGAUAUCUACAGGAACUCCGGUGGCGAAAGCGGCGUGCUGGACCUUUUCUGACGCUGGAGGCGACGAAAGCUAGGGGAGCAAACGGG
Molecule: ribosomal RNA, 255 nt
Filed under: uncultured bacterium
Lineage: Bacteria
Description: partial 16S ribosomal RNA
Rfam family: Bacterial small subunit ribosomal RNA
Source: RNAcentral